This 709-nucleotide ribosomal RNA is filed under the name Pseudomonas sp. NP02. Its description in RNAcentral is "bacterial SSU rRNA". It matches the Rfam family "Bacterial small subunit ribosomal RNA", at positions 57 to 761 of the family's 1533-position model. The record is from RNAcentral. Lineage: Bacteria; Pseudomonadati; Pseudomonadota; Gammaproteobacteria; Pseudomonadales; Pseudomonadaceae.
GCAAGUCGAGCGGCAGCGGGUCCUUCGGGAUGCCGGCGAGCGGCGGACGGGUGAGUAAUGCCUAGGAAUCUGCCUGGUAGUGGGGGAUAACGUUCGGAAACGGACGCUAAUACCGCAUACGUCCUACGGGAGAAAGUGGGGGAUCUUCGGACCUCACGCUAUCAGAUGAGCCUAGGUCGGAUUAGCUAGUUGGUGGGGUAAUGGCUCACCAAGGCGACGAUCCGUAACUGGUCUGAGAGGAUGAUCAGUCACACUGGAACUGAGACACGGUCCAGACUCCUACGGGAGGCAGCAGUGGGGAAUAUUGGACAAUGGGCGAAAGCCUGAUCCAGCCAUGCCGCGUGUGUGAAGAAGGUCUUCGGAUUGUAAAGCACUUUAAGUUGGGAGGAAGGGCAGCUAGUUAAUACCUGGUUGUUUUGACGUUACCAACAGAAUAAGCACCGGCUAACUUCGUGCCAGCAGCCGCGGUAAUACGAAGGGUGCAAGCGUUAAUCGGAAUUACUGGGCGUAAAGCGCGCGUAGGUGGUUCAGCAAGUUGGAGGUGAAAUCCCCGGGCUCAACCUGGGAACUGCCUCCAAAACUACUGAGCUAGAGUACGGUAGAGGGUAGUGGAAUUUCCUGUGUAGCGGUGAAAUGCGUAGAUAUAGGAAGGAACACCAGUGGCGAAGGCGACUACCUGGACUGAUACUGACACUGAGGUGCGAAAGCG